Molecule: non-coding RNA, 30 nt
Filed under: Rattus norvegicus (Norway rat)
Lineage: Eukaryota; Metazoa; Chordata; Mammalia; Rodentia; Muridae
Source: RNAcentral
UGAGCAUAGGAAGGGUGCACUGAGAAGUGU